RNAcentral lists this ribosomal RNA (924 nucleotides) under uncultured Bacteroidota bacterium. RNAcentral's name for it is "bacterial SSU rRNA". It matches the Rfam family "Bacterial small subunit ribosomal RNA", at positions 1 to 916 of the family's 1533-position model. Lineage: Bacteria; Pseudomonadati; Bacteroidota. The record is from RNAcentral.
GGAUCCAGACUUUGAUUAUGGCUCAGGAUGAACGCUAGCUACAGGCUUAACACAUGCAAGUCGAGGGGAAACGAUAUUGGAAGCUUGCUUCCGAUAGGCGUCGACCGGCGCACGGGUGAGUAACGCGUAUCCAACCUGCCCACCACUUGGGGAUAACCUUGCGAAAGUAAGACUAAUACCCAAUGACGUCUCUAGAAGACAUCUGAAAGAGAUUAAAGAUUUAUCGGUGAUGGAUGGGGAUGCGUCUGAUUAGCUUGUUGGCGGGGUAACGGCCCACCAAGGCGACGAUCAGUAGGGGUUCUGAGAGGAAGGUCCCCCACAUUGGAACUGAGGCACGGUCCAAACUCCUACGGGAGGCAGCAGUGAGGAAUAUUGGUCAAUGGGCGAGAGCCUGAACCAGCCAAGUAGCGUGCAGGAUGACGGCCCUAUGGGUUGUAAACUGCUUUUAUAAGGGAAUAAAGUGAGUCUCGUGAGACUUUUUGCAUGUACCUUAUGAAUAAGGACCGGCUAAUUCCGUGCCAGCAGCCGCGGUAAUACGGAAGGUCCGGGCGUUAUCCGGAUUUAUUGGGUUUAAAGGGAGCGUAGGCCGGAGAUUAAGCGUGUUGUGAAAUGUAGACGCUCAACGUCUGCACUGCAGCGCGAACUGGUUUCCUUGAGUACGCACAAAGUGGGCGGAAUUCGUGGUGUAGCGGUGAAAUGCUUAGAUAUCACGAAGAACUCCGAUUGCGAAGGCAGCUCACUGGAGCGCAACUGACGCUGAAGCUCGAAAGUGCGGGUAUCGAACAGGAUUAGAUACCCUGGUAGUCCGCACGGUAAACGAUGGAUGCCCGCUGUUGGUCUGAAUAGGUCAGCGGCCAAGCGAAAGCAUUAAGCAUCCCACCUGGGGAGUACGCCGGCAACGGUGCAACUCAAAGGAAUUGACGG